UACGGGGGGAGCAAGCGUUGUUCGGAUUUACUGGGCGUAAAGGGCGCGUAGGCGGUAGCACAAGUCAGUUGUGAAAUCUCCGGGCUUAACUCGGAAAGGUCAACUGAUACUGUGCGACUAGAGUGCAGAAGGGGCAACUGGAAUUCUCGGUGUAGCGGUGAAAUGCGUAGAUAUCGAGAGGAACACCUGCGGCGAAGGCGGGUUGCUGGGCUGACACUGACGCUGAACUGCGAAAGCUAGGGGAGCGAACGGG
RNAcentral lists this ribosomal RNA (253 nucleotides) under uncultured bacterium. RNAcentral's name for it is "partial 16S ribosomal RNA". It matches the Rfam family "Bacterial small subunit ribosomal RNA", at positions 524 to 776 of the family's 1533-position model. The record is from RNAcentral.